Molecule: long non-coding RNA, 1068 nt
Filed under: Calidris pugnax (ruff)
Lineage: Eukaryota; Metazoa; Chordata; Aves; Charadriiformes; Scolopacidae
Description: lncRNA (ENSCPUG00000018497.1)
Source: RNAcentral
UACUUUUAAUAUAUCUACUUUGCCAUAAACCCAGCAUCUGCCCUUGAAUAAGCAUUGGAAGGAAUGGCUGAUAGCAAGAACAGUAUCAGUGACGUAAAAUAUAAGAAUAGUAUUUAUGAAUAUGUUCAGACAAGAUACAGAACUACUGGCUCAAAAUCCGCAUGCAGUUCCAGGAAAGGCAGCUUCAUGUCUCCUCAGAGAAACGAAAGUUUAAAAGUUUGUUUUUACUAUUUCCAACACUUCUUGAUUUCCCACAGCAGUUAGAGCCAUGAGAAUAUUGAUGUGAGUAAGUUAACAUACAGAUCUAAAAGAUUAUGUCCACGUCAGAAUUCUUUUAUUCGGAGCUUUGGCUUCCUGCCAUGUGUUCAGGCAAUAAAUUGGCUGUAACAGAGCUGCUUCUAGCAUUCUGCUGAGUAGAAGUAUCCCAGCAGAGACAAUAGGAGCCAAAAUAAGGACAGGAAAAAGAGAGGCAACCCAGGUUAUCAGGAUUUCUGAAGUGCUUCUGCAAUGUUGCUCCGCUCAGGCCGCAAAAAGCCCUAUGAAGUGUCUCACCAUGAAAGGCAGUCUGUUAAGACACAAUCUCUGCUGAGAACUGUGAAAACAACUCCUGGAAACUCAGCGUUUAGUUUACGACAAACGCUGAAAUGCUAUAUACUGACUGAAGAUUCAAAAACAGUGCAUUUUGACAUAGAUGAAGACGGCCAUCAUGAAAUAUGCACCAAGGAUUCACAAUCCCAUGAAGAUAUUGCGUGGUUAAGUGUGUUCACAAAGAACGAACCAGCAGUUACUGAUUCUAAAAAUUUGGUGAUCCUCACACAGAGAUCAAAGCUUAAUGAAUUUGUCCUGUUGUGCAAGGGUAAGAAGCAGCUGUCUCUGAAGCUGAGUGAAGAUAAUAACUUUUUCAUCAUGCAUUACCAAGGAGAUUCAGUGCAGUUCCAGUGCUAUGAAGACAGAAGUUACUACCUGUGUGUGAAUGAUGACUCCCUUGAUAUUCGCAAGCGGGAAAACGAAGAACUCAACGAGGACAAAAAUUUUUACUUUAGGGUGUCAUAUUUACAGGAAAAGUAA